RNAcentral lists this transfer RNA (71 nucleotides) under Ovis aries (sheep). It matches the Rfam family "tRNA". From Rfam's summary of the family: Transfer RNA (tRNA) molecules are approximately 80 nucleotides in length. Their secondary structure includes four short double-helical elements and three loops (D, anti-codon, and T loops). The record is from Rfam by way of RNAcentral. Lineage: Eukaryota; Metazoa; Chordata; Mammalia; Artiodactyla; Bovidae.
UCCCUGGUGGCUCAGUGAUAAAGAAUCUGCCUGCCAUGCAGGAGACUUGGGUUUGAUUUCUAGUCUGGGAA